Scylla paramamosain (green mud crab) is the source of this 1072-nucleotide long non-coding RNA. RefSeq lists it as uncharacterized. The record is from RefSeq and is a predicted model, not a curated record. Lineage: Eukaryota; Metazoa; Arthropoda; Malacostraca; Decapoda; Portunidae. The transcript is spliced from 5 exons.
CGCGUCGUAUUGCAGCUCAGGGAGGAACAAUUGCCGCGUCCGCCUCCACGUGCAGGCAGGAUAUCCGGGUGCGAUCAAUAGGUGUUCUAGAAUAACCGAGUCAAACUGUAUGCAAAUGCUUCCCACAAAAACCUAAUAUUCACAUCAACGAAUAUCCUCUGAAGAGAACGCUUAAGUGCAAUUAUACUACAUCAAGUAAAAAGAAAAUGAUAAGUGUGGCUUGUGGGUUUGUGAGUAGAGACGAAACAUUAGGGGUGCAGAAGCCAAGAGUAAGUACAGACAGGCGGAGUGAGGGAAGGACGCGAGGAGGAGGAGGAGAAGGAACGAGUGACGGACACCAGGGAGGUUUUUGCGUGAUAGCUCUUCGUCCAUCGCCUGUCUGGGAGGAGCAAGAAAUAAGGUGGUGAUGACUGAUGUUUAGGAUCUGUUCGCCUGUCUUCUGUCUGCGAGGAACUGGGAGAUAACGCAGUGCUGUCUGAUGGUGCGGGCGUUCAUGAAGUGUCGUGAGUCAUGGACAAGAGGACGGAAAAAGACAUGUUUCUCCUUGGAAAGGUUGAUCCUUCGCUGAUCUAAAGGCAAAAGUUUUUGCUUCCAUACACGGGGACUCUUAAGACUGCUGGGAUCGCUAUCGAGUGAAGAUUGUGCAGUUGAUCAGACAAAGGACGGGCGAUCUAUGGGACAAACGGACAAGACAAGGCUGGGCUGGUGCGGGGCGAGGCGAGGCGGGCCUGAAGGAGGACGCCGCUCUGCUGGUGUGGGAGACCUGCCAGAGGCCGCCACCUGCCUGCCGGGUGGCGCUGUCCUGUCCUCACAUUGUUAUCCAGCCUCCCUCCGAUUUCCGACUGGCCUACUGCCUUCCGAACCUCCCCCUCCCCUCCCCUGCCCUGCCUCCCUCCCCACUAGUGGUGCUUGGACGCCUCUCUCCACACACCAAUAGGAUGAGGGAAUUCAAAUAGGGAUAAUGAGAUCCUUGUGUAUUUGAUUUAAAUAGAUAUUUUGCUCAGAGUGUAUUGUAGCAAGUCUAAUGCUUUAUUUUCUUGUUUUAUUAAUCGGUUUUUCUAUAUUAUGUUCU